AUAUAUCGGUUAUGGAUGAGCUUGCGGGGUAUUAGGUAGUUGGUGUGGUAAUGGCGCACCAAGCCCAAGAUGCCUAGCCGGUUUGAGAGAACGAUCGGCCACACUGGGACUGAGACACGGCCCAGACGCUUACGAGCGGCAGCAGUGGGGAAUAUUGGACAAUGGGCGAAAGCCUGAUCCAGUGAUAUCGCUUUGGGGA
Molecule: ribosomal RNA, 199 nt
Filed under: uncultured Alphaproteobacteria bacterium
Lineage: Bacteria; Pseudomonadati; Pseudomonadota; Alphaproteobacteria
Description: partial 16S ribosomal RNA
Rfam family: Bacterial small subunit ribosomal RNA
Source: RNAcentral